Mytilus californianus (California mussel) is the source of this 509-nucleotide long non-coding RNA. RefSeq lists it as uncharacterized. The transcript has 2 exons. Lineage: Eukaryota; Metazoa; Mollusca; Bivalvia; Mytilida; Mytilidae. The record is from RefSeq and is a predicted model, not a curated record.
UAUAGUGAUUUCUAUUUCAAAAACAAAGGACAAGAACCAAAUUAACGACACAAACAGGAUUGAACGUGAAAAUCUAUUUCAAUCAAAGUUUGAAGGAGAAUGCAUUUCAAAUAAAGAAAAUUCUCAAACUGAAGCUACAGUCUAGUCUUGACUCCUGAUUUUAAACUGGUACAUGUAGAAUGUGGCGGAGUUAAACAUGUUAAAGAGAGGGGCAAAAGAUACCAGAGGGACAGUCAAACAUCGAAAAUAAACUAACAACGCUAUGACUAAAAAAGAAAAAGACAAUAACAAUUAAACACAACUGGCUUUUUUCUCGAAUUGAUCACAAAUUAAUUGUUAUAAUUGAAUGUGGGCACAAAUUUGAGGAAUUACUUCCGACUAUGGCAAGAGCACUGGUUUCGGUUUAUUGGAAUAAGAACUCUCUUUUGAUAUAGAGACGUUGUAGGAGAUGUUUAUUACAAUGUGUGUAAAAGUAGUCUAUUAUCCAAUUAAAGCGUUUCUUCACCCUC